RNAcentral lists this small RNA (406 nucleotides) under Pongo abelii (Sumatran orangutan). RNAcentral's name for it is "processed transcript". Lineage: Eukaryota; Metazoa; Chordata; Mammalia; Primates; Hominidae. The record is from RNAcentral.
AGCAGGUUAGGCCGGAGGAACAGCGCCAUGUGCUCCGGGCUCCUGGAGCUCCUGCUGCCCAUCUGGCUCUCCUGGACCCUGGGGACCCGAGGCUCUGAGCCCCGCAGUGUAAACGAUCCCGGGAACAUGUCCUUUGUGAAGGAGACGGUGGACAAGCUGUUGAAAGGCUACGACAUUCGCCUGAGACCCGACUUCGGGGGUCCCCCGGUCUGCGUGGGGAUGAACAUCGACAUCGCCAGCAUCGACAUGGUUUCCGAAGUCAACAUGAGAUGCUGGCUGCAGGAAAGGGGAACGAAGACGGUGGUCUGUGCGUUCCAGGGGUGUCUCUGCGGUUUUUCCAAGGCUGUCUCCUGGACUGGGAGACCCGGGCCCGGCACAGCCAGUCUCUGUCCGAGGUGCUGACAGG